RNAcentral lists this transfer RNA (91 nucleotides) under Sus scrofa (pig). It matches the Rfam family "tRNA". From Rfam's summary of the family: Transfer RNA (tRNA) molecules are approximately 80 nucleotides in length. The record is from Rfam by way of RNAcentral. Lineage: Eukaryota; Metazoa; Chordata; Mammalia; Artiodactyla; Suidae.
UCCCUGGUAGCCUAGUGGUUAAAGGUCCAGCAUUGUCAUUGCUGUGGUUCAGGUCACUGCUGUGGCACAGGUUCAAUCCCUGGCCCAGGAA